CAGCAGCCACGGUAAUACGGAGGGUGCAAGCGUUAAUCGGAAUUACUGGGCGUAAAGCGCACGCAGGCGGUCUGUCAAGUCAGAUGUGAAAUCCCCGGGCUUAACCUGGGAACUGCAUUUGAAACUGGCAGGCUAGAGUCUUGUAGAGGGGGGUAGAAUUCCAGGUGUAGCGGUGAAAUGCGUAGAGAUCUGGAGGAAUACCGGUGGCGAAGGCGGCCCCCUGGACAAAGACUGACGCUCAGGUGCGAAAGCGUGGGGAGCAAACAGGAUUAGAUACCUCAGUAGUCCAUGUCUCUUAUAC
Molecule: ribosomal RNA, 301 nt
Filed under: uncultured bacterium
Lineage: Bacteria
Description: partial 16S ribosomal RNA
Rfam family: Bacterial small subunit ribosomal RNA
Source: RNAcentral